This 72-nucleotide transfer RNA is filed under the name Lachnospiraceae bacterium. RNAcentral describes it as "tRNA-Glu". It matches the Rfam family "tRNA". Rfam says of the family: Transfer RNA (tRNA) molecules are approximately 80 nucleotides in length. The record is from RNAcentral. Lineage: Bacteria; Bacillati; Bacillota; Clostridia; Lachnospirales; Lachnospiraceae.
GGCCCCAUGGUCAAGCGGUUAAGACAUCGCCCUUUCACGGCGGUUACAGGGGUUCAAAUCCCCUUGGGGUCA